CACGUAGGGGGCGAGCGUUGUCCGGAUUCAUUGGGCGUAAAGGGCGCGCAGGCGGCCCGGAAAGUCGGAUGUGAAAACUCGAGGCUCAACCUCGAGCGUGCACCCGAUACUGCCGGGCUUGAGGCAGGUAGGGGAGAUCGGAAUUCCUGGUGUAGCGGUGAAAUGCGCAGAUAUCAGGAGGAACACCAGCGGCGAAGGCGGUGCUCUGGGCCGGAACUGACGCUGAGGAGCGAAAUCGUGGUUAGCUAACAGC
Molecule: ribosomal RNA, 253 nt
Filed under: uncultured bacterium
Lineage: Bacteria
Description: partial 16S ribosomal RNA
Rfam family: Bacterial small subunit ribosomal RNA
Source: RNAcentral